This 75-nucleotide transfer RNA is filed under the name Clostridia bacterium. RNAcentral describes it as "tRNA-Arg". It matches the Rfam family "tRNA". Rfam says of the family: Transfer RNA (tRNA) molecules are approximately 80 nucleotides in length. The record is from RNAcentral. Lineage: Bacteria; Bacillati; Bacillota; Clostridia.
CUUCCCGUAGUUAAAUGGAUAUAACGGGGCCCUCCUAAGGCUCUGUUGUGGGUUCGAUUCCCGCCGAGAAGACCA